UCGUAACAAGGUCUCCGUUGGUGAACCAGCGGAGGGAUCAUUACCGAGUUUACAACUCCCAAACCCCUGUGAACAUACCUAUACGUUGCCUCGGCGGAUCAGCCCGCGCCCUGUAAAAAGGGACGGCCCGCCCGAGGACCCUAAACUCUGUUUUUAGUGGAACUUCUGAGUAAAACAAACAAAUAAAUCAAAACUUUCAACAACGGAUCUCUUGGUUCUGGCAUCGAUGAAGAACGCAGCAAAAUGCGAUAAGUAAUGUGAAUUGCAGAAUUCAGUGAAUCAUCGAAUCUUUGAACGCACAUUGCGCCCGCCAGUAUUCUGGCGGGCAUGCCUGUUCGAGCGUCAUUUCAACCCUCAAGCUCAGCUUGGUGUUGGGACUCGCGGUAACCCGCGUUCCCCAAAUCGAUUGGCGGUCACGUCGAGCUUCCAUAGCGUAGUAAUCAUACACCUCGUUACUGGUAAUCGUCGCGGCCACGCCGUAAAACCCCAACUUCUGAAUGUUGACCUCGGAUCAGGUAGGAAUACCCGCUGAACUUAAGCAUAUCA
Molecule: unclassified non-coding RNA, 546 nt
Filed under: Fusarium flagelliforme
Lineage: Eukaryota; Fungi; Ascomycota; Sordariomycetes; Hypocreales; Nectriaceae
Description: sequence contains 18S rRNA gene, ITS1, 5.8S rRNA gene, ITS2, 28S rRNA gene
Rfam family: 5.8S ribosomal RNA (bases 192-345)
Source: RNAcentral